RNAcentral lists this long non-coding RNA (5388 nucleotides) under Salmo salar (Atlantic salmon). Its description in RNAcentral is "lncRNA (ENSSSAG00000088407.1)". Lineage: Eukaryota; Metazoa; Chordata; Actinopteri; Salmoniformes; Salmonidae. The record is from RNAcentral.
CAAUCAUCAUGUGACGUUCGUCAUUAAAAGGAGACCAAGGCGUAGUGUGGGUUGGGUUCAUCAUACUUCAUUUUAAAUGUGAACCAGCAAAAACAAUAAAAAAUACAGAAGACACUGUGGCCCCAUCCGAUGAUACCCCCGGACUAACCAGGACAGUAAUGGAUGAGGCAUAUUGAUAUUAGAGAGAGCAUGCGUAGCCAAGUGAACAUAUGGGUCCAGUGAGUGGUUGGGAUGGUUGGGGACACGGCGAUUCAGACAGUUAGCAGGCCGGUGCUAACAAGCUAGCAGAUAGUAGGCCGGGGCCCACAUGCUAGCAGUUAGCAGACCGGGUUAGCAAGCAAGCAGUUAUCAGACCGGGGCAAGCAAGCUAGCAAUUAGCAGACCGUGGCUAGCAAGCUAGCAGUUAGCAGACCGGGGAUAGCAAGUUAGCAGAAGGGCCUUUGGGGGACGUCGCGAUGGAGAGGACCUGAGCCCUAGGACCAUGCCUCAGGACUACCUGACAUGAUGAAUCCUUGCUGUCCCCAGUCCACCUGGCCAUGCUGCUGCUCCAGUUUCAACUGUUCUGCCUGCGGCUAUGGAACCCUGACCUGUUUACCGGACAUGCUACCUGUCCCAGACCUGCUGUUUUCAACUCUCUAGAGACAGCAGGAGCGGUAGAGAUACUCUUGAUUAUCGGCUAUGAAAAGCCAACUGACAUUUACUCUUGUGGUGCUGACUUGUUGCACUCUCAACAACUGUGAUUAUUAUUAUUUCACCAUGCUGGUCAUUUAUGAACAUUUGAACAUCUUGUCCAUGUUCUGUUAUAAUCUCCACCCGGCACAGCCAGAAUCGGACUGGCCACCCCUCAUAGCCUGGUUCCUCUCUAGGUUUCUUCCUAGGUUUUGGCCUUUCUAGGGAGUUUUUCCUAGCCACCGUGCUUAUACAUCUGCAUUGCUUGCUGUUUGGGGUUUUAGGCUGGGUUUCUGUACAGCACUUUGAGAUAUCAGCUGAUGUAAGAAGGUCUAUAUAAAUACAUUUGAUUUGAUUUGAUUCCCAGUGGGUCAGAAGUUUACAUACACUCAAUUAGUAUCUGGUAGCAUUGCCUUUAAAUUGUUAACUUAGGUCAAAUGUUUCGGGUAGCCUUCCACAAUCUUCCCACAAUAGAUUGGGUGAAUUUUGGCCCAUUCCUCCUGACAGAGUUGAUGUAACUGAGUCAGGUUUGUAGGCCUCCUUGCUCCCACACGCUUUUUCAUUUCUGUCCACACAUUUUCUAUAGGAUUGAACUCAGGGCUUUGUGAUGGCCACUCCAACACCUUGACUUUGUUGUCCUUAAGCCCUUUUACCACAAUUUUGGAAGAAUGCUUGGGGUCAUUGUCCAUUUGGAAGUCCCAUUUGCUACCAAUCUUUAACUUCCUGACUGAUGUCUUGAGAUAUUGCUUCAAUAUAUCCACAUCAUUUUCCUUCCUCAUGAUCUAUUUUGUGAAGUGCACCAAUCCCUCCUGCAGCAAAGCACCCCCACAACAUGAUGCUGCCACCCCCGUUUUUUAUGGUUGGGAUGGUGUUCUUUAGCUUGCAAGCGUCCCCGUUUUUCCUCCAAACAUAACAAUGUUCAUUAUGUCCAAACAGUUAUAUUUUUGUUUCAUCAGACCAGAGGACAUUUCUCCAAAAAGUAUGAUCUUUGUCCCCAUGCGCAGUUGCAAACCGUAGUCUGGCUUUUUUUAUGGCGGUUUUGGAGGAGUGACUUCUUCCUUGUUGAGCAGCCUUUCAGGUUAUGUCGAUAUAGGACUCGUUUUACUGUGGAUAUAGAUACUUUUGCACCUGUUUCCUCCAGCAUCUUCACAAGGUCCUUUGCUGUUGUUCUGGGAUUGAUUUGCACUUUUCGCACCAAAGUAUGUUCAUUUCAAGGAGACAGAAUGCGUCUCCUUCCUGAGCGGUGUGACGGCUGCGUGGUCCCAUGGUGUUUAUACUUGCAUACUAUUGUUUGUACAGAUGAACGCUGUACCUUCAGGCAUUUGGAAAUUGCUCCCAAGGAUGAACCUGACUUGUGGAGGUCUACAAUUUAUUUUCUGAGGUCUUGGCUGAUUUCUUUUGAUGUCAAGCGAAGAGGCAUUGAGUUUGAAGGUAGGACUUGAAAUACAUUCACAGGUACACCUCUAAUUGACUCAAAUGAUGUCAAUUAGCCUAUCAGAAGCUUCUAAAGCCAUGAUAUCAUUUUCGGGAAUUUUCCAAGCUGUUUAAAGGCACAGUCAGCUUAGAGUAUGUAAACUUCUGACCCACUGGAAUUGUGAUACAGUGAAUUAUAAGUGAAAUAAUCUGUCUGUAAACAAUUAUUUGGAAAUUACUUGUUUCAUGCACAAAGUAUAUGUCCUAACCGUCUUCCCAAAACUAUAGUUUGUUAACAAGAAAUUUGUGGAGUGGUUGAAAAACGAGUUUUAAUGACUCCAACCUAAGUGUAUGUAAACUUCCGACUUCAACUGAGUCCCGAGACGCUUGUGGGGAGAACACCAACGUUGUAAUCGGCCUGUGUGUAGCUGGUGUAGAGAGUCAGGCGUUGGACAGCAGAUAUGAGUAAUCAACGUAUUUACUCAAGUAUUCACAAAUACAACACAAUAUACCGAGCCCACAAUAAUGGACCGUAUACAAGACAAACAAUUACUCACAAACAAACAUGGGGGAACAGAGGGUUAAAUAAUGAACAAGUAAUUGGGGGAUAAAAACAGGUGUGUAAGACAAAGACAAAACAAGUGGAAAAUGAAAAUUGGAUCGGCGAUGGCUAGAAGGCCGGUGACUUCUAUCGCCGAAAGCCACCCGAACAAGGAGACGGACCGACUUCGGCGGAAGUCGUGACAAAUGUGUUUGUGAGAGUCGUCUUUCCAUAGUUUGUGAGCCAAACCAUUCAGACGCAACUGACGAUGAUGUGAGACCUAUUUUUAUGAUGUCUCAUGGUCUGACAAACACCAUCAUAUUGCAUUGUUCUGUGUUUUAUUAAUCUGUCUACAGGGCUCUGUGUUUCAUUAAUCAGUCUACAGGACUCUGUCUUUUAAUAAUCACUGUACAGGGUUCUGUGUUUUAUUAAUCAGUGUACAGGACUGUGUUUUAUUAAUCAGUCUACAUGGCUCUGUGUUUUACUAAUCAGUGUACAGGACUGUGUUUUAUUAAUCAGUGUGUUGUGUGUUUUAUUAAUCAGUCUGCAGAGCUCUGUGUUUUAUUAAUCAGUCUACAGGGCUCUGUGUUUUAAUAAUCAGUGUACAGGACUCUGUUUAACCUCUCUAGGGUAUGUGGGACGAAAUCGUCCCACCUACUCAACAGCCAGUGGAAUCCCGUGGCGCGUUAUUCAAAUACCUUAGAAAUGCUAUUACUUAAAUUUCUCAAACAUAUGACUAUUUUACACCAUUUUAAAGACAAGACUCUCGUUAAUCUAACCACACUGUCCGAUUUCAAAAAGGCUUUACAACGAAAGCAAAACAUUAGAUUAUGUCAGCAGAGUACCCAGCCAGAAAUAAUCAGACACCCAUUUUUCAAGCUAGCAUAUAAUGUCACAUAAACCCAAACCACAGCUAAUUGCAGCACUAACCUUUGAUGAUCUUCAUCAGAUGACAAUCCUAGGACAUUAUGUUAUACAAUACAUGCAUGUUUUGUUCAAUCAAGUUCAUAUUUAUAUCAAAAACCAGGUUUUUACAUUAGCAUGUGAUGUUCAGAACUAGCAUACCCACCGCAAACUUCCUGUGAAUUUACUAAAUUACUCACGAUAAACGUUCACAAAAAACAUAACAAUUAUUUUAAGAAUUAUAGAUACAGAACUCCUUUAUGCAAUCGCUAUGUCCGAUUUUAAAAUAGCUUUUCGGCAAAAGCACAUUUUGCAAUAUUCUGAGUAGAUAGCCCAGCCAUCACGGGCUAGCGAUUUAGACACCCACCAAGUCUGGCCCUCACCAAACUCCAAUUUACUAUUAGAAAAAUGUGAUUACCUUUGCUGUUCUUCGUCAGAAUGCACUCCCAGGACUUCUACUUCAAUAACAAAUGUUGGUUUGGUUCAAAAUAAUCCAUAGUUACGUUCAAAUAUCCUCUGUUUUGUUCGUGCGUUCAAGACACUAUCCGAAGGGUGACGAAGGGUGACGCGCCCGAUGCGUUUCGUGACAAAAAAAAUCUAAAUAUUCCAUUACCGUACUUCGAAGCAUGUCAUCCGCUGUUUAAAAACAAUUUUUCUGCGAUUUUUAUCGUAAAAAAAGCGAUAAUAUUCCAACCGGGAAGCCCUGUUUUAGUUCAAAGACGAAAAAAUAAAAACAUGGUGUCGCCUCGGGCACGCGCCUCAGUCUCAUUGUUCUCUGAUCGACCAUUAUCGAAAUGCGCUACUGUUUUUCAGCCAGGGCCUGCAAAGACAUCAUUCAGCCUUUUGCCGCCUUUUGAGUGCCUAUGGGAGCCGUAGGAAGUGUCACGUUACAGCAGAGAUCCUCAGUUUUCAAUAAAGAGAGUGUAGAAGCCCAAGAAAUGGUCAGACAGGCCACUUCCUGUAAGGAAUCUUCUCAGGUUUUUGCCUGCCAUAUGAGUUCUGUUAUACUCACAGACACCAUUCAAACAGUUUUAGAAACUUUAGGGUGUUUUCUAUCCAAAGCCAAUAAUUAUAUGCAUUUUCUAGUUUCUGGGCAGUAGUAAUAACCAGAUUAAAUCGGGUACGUUUUUUAUCCGGCUGUGCAAAUACUGCCCCCUACCCUAGAGAGGUUAAUUUUUGUUCACUACCUGGUCAGGGCUAUUUCUAUUACUAAUAAUGAGACUCAGGUAUAAGGAGGGAUGUUCACUACCUGGCCAGGACUAUUACUAGUGAUGGGACUCAGGUAUAAAGAGGGAUGUUCACUACCUGUGGUAAAUUCAAUUGUUUGGACAUGAUUUGGAAAGGCACACACCUGUCCAUCCAACCUGACAGAGCUUGAGAGGAUCUGCAGAGAAGAAUGGGAGAAACUCCCCAAAUACAGGUGUGCCAAGCUUGCAGUGUCAUACCCAAGAAGAAUCACUGCCAAAGGUGUUUCAACAAAGUACCGAGUAAAGGGUCUGAAUACUACUAAAUGUGAUAUUUCAGUUUUUAAUGUGUUAUAAAUUAGAAAAUAUUUCUAAAAACCAGUUUUUGCUUUGUCAUUAUGGGGUAUUGUGAUGUCAUUAUGGGGUAUUGUGAUGUCAUUAUAGGGUAUUGUGUAUAGAUUGAUGAGGAAUAAAAAAAAAAACCAUUUUAUAAUAAGGCUGUAACGUACCACAAUGUGGAAAAAGUCAACAAGUCUGAAUACUUUCCGAAGGCACUCUAUAUAAUUUGGUUAGAGCACAUUAAUACAAUUAAUACACAAGCACAUUAAUAAAAUUAAUACACAAGCAAAUGUAGAACCUUCAAAUCUGAACGUGUGUGAAAAUAAAGAAAUAUUUUUU